Molecule: ribosomal RNA, 507 nt
Filed under: uncultured Glomus
Lineage: Eukaryota; Fungi; Glomeromycota; Glomeromycetes; Glomerales; Glomeraceae
Description: SSU rRNA
Rfam family: Eukaryotic small subunit ribosomal RNA
Source: RNAcentral
AGCAGCCGCGGUAAUUCCAGCUCCAAUAGCGUAUAUUAAAGUUGUUGCAGUUAAAAAGCUCGUAGUUGAAUUUCGGGAUCAAAUUGUCGGUCGUGCCUCGGUACGCACUGGUAUUAUUGGUUCCUACCUUCUGAAGAACCGCGAUGUCAUUAAUUUGGUGUCGUGGGGAAUCAGGACUGUUACUUUGAAAAAAUUAGAGUGUUUAAAGCAGGCUUACGCUUGAAUACAUUAGCAUGGAAUAAUGAAAUAGGACGUUUGAUUCUAUUUUGAUGGUUUCUAGGAUUGACGUAAUGAUUAAUAGGGAUAGUUGGGGGCAUUAGUAUUCAAUUGUCAGAGGUGAAAUUCUUGGAUUUAUUGAAGACUAACUACUGCGAAAGCAUUUGCCAAGGAUGUUUUCAUUAAUCAAGAACGAAAGUUAGGGGAUCGAAGACGAUCAGAUACCGUCGUAGUCUUAACCAUAAACUAUGCCGACUAGGGAUCGGAUGAUGUUAAUUUUUUAAUGACUCA